This 258-nucleotide unclassified non-coding RNA is filed under the name Hyphodiscus sp. RNAcentral describes it as "partial contains 5.8S ribosomal RNA, internal transcribed spacer 2, and large subunit ribosomal RNA". RNAcentral also lists the same sequence under 1 other name. Lineage: Eukaryota; Fungi; Ascomycota; Leotiomycetes; Helotiales; Hyphodiscaceae. The record is from RNAcentral.
AACGCACAUUGCGCCCCUUGGUAUUCCGGGGGGCAUGCCUGUUCGAGCGUCAUUACACCAAUCAAGCAAUGCUUGGUAUUAGGCCUUCGUCCCCCGAGAGGGUGGGCGUGCCUCAAAACCUUCGGCGAAGUCACACCGGCUUUGGGCGUAGUAGAAUCUUCAAAACGUCUUACGGGCCCGGCGCGUCUUUUGCCGUCAAACCUCAAACUAUUUUACCAGGUUGACCUCGGAUCAGGUAGGGAUACCCGCUGAACUUAA